AUGGCGUCCACGCCUUUGAACAAGACGGCGUCGACGCACAGGUCGGCGUUAGUCCGAGGCACGCACCGGUUUCACAUCGUCGGUUACAGCGAGCAGAAGGCUCUCGCCGGCGUGAGCGGGAGAAACUCCUCCAUCAUCAGGUCCGGCGACUUCGAGGCCGGAGAAUGCACCUGGGCCCUCAGUUGUUGCUUCAAGAAACAAGGACUGGCGUCCAUCUCCCUGGAGCUGGUCAGCGGCAAGUACGCCGCCACUGCCAUGGUGAGCUUGAGGAUCGACGACCCGCUUCACCGGUGGCCUGCCGCAGUAUGGCGAAGCCCGGACACCAACACCUUCCCCGCUUUGCCAGCAACAACAAGUGAAAGCAGGAGUUGGAAGCUGUCGGUCCCCGAGGCGUUCAUCCAUGGACAGGAGGAGCGCUGCGUGGUAGAUGACCGCCUCACCAUCCUCUGCAUUGUCGAUGUCCUCCGGGUGGACCCCACACCAGCAAGGACCAGGAACUGCUUCAUCUCCGUGGUGCCACCGCCAACCAUCUCCGGCGAUCUGCUCAUGCUUCUUUCUGCGUCGCUGUCUAAAUUGGAGUCCGCGAAGCCCUGCCUGAGGCCGGAUGUGACGUUCAUCGUGGAGCAGAUCGAGAUCCAUGCGCACAAGCUUGUCCUCUCCGUGCGGUCGCCCGUUUUUGAGGCGGAUUUCCGAUGGCACAUGGAUGAGAGCUGCAUAAUCAGGGUCGUCCACGACAUGAGUACCUCCACUUUCAGGGCCAUGCUCCGCUUCAUCUACACAGACGAGCUGCCCAUCAAACCAACCAACAACGGCAUCAUACUAACAAGUGAAGAUAAAUAUGCGGCAAGGCGCUACGAGGCCAUGGUGUGCGACCUGAUGAUAGCCGCCGAUCAGUAUGACCUAGAGAGGUUAAGGCUUUUGUGCGAGAACGUGCUGGCUGAGGGCAUGGACGAUAUGUCUGUCAUACCUACACUGAUGAUGGUGCAUGGUAGGUACCGUUGUUGGCAGCUUGAGAAUUCAUGCAUCAAAUACGUAGCGUCCCAUCCUAAUGUUUACAGCGCCCUGAAGGCGACCGAGGAGUAUAACGAGAUCAAGAAUAGUUGCUGCUCUUUCCUGCUCGAGGUCAUCGACAAAAUAGACAUGAUUAUGGCUCCAAACUCAAGCUCCGACAAUCUCCAGUCCCACAAAAGAAAGCGAGAUGAUUGCUUGUCAGCGGUGGUAGUCCAUGGUACGCACAAGUUUACAAUCCCGUACUUUUGGGUUGUCCAGAGGAGCCUGCUUGCUGUGGGCAAAAAUACAAUUCGUUCUGGCAUUUUCCUGGUUGACGGUUACAGCUGGAGGCUAUGGGUACGGCGGUUAUACCCUUCCAGUUCUUUGGCAUUCGUUGUGUAUCUCUGUUUGGUGAGUUGUUUUGAAACUGCCCAUGUCACUACGUCAAUUAGCUUCAAGAUAGAUGACCCUAGUGGCAGGUCGUUGCCGCCGAUAACAAUGGUAGAAGAAAUUUUUACCAAGGCAGAAAACUUCAGGGGUGCAGAGUUCACCCUCAAGAAAUCUACCAAAUUCUCACAUGAUGACUCCCUCACUGUACACUGCCAUCUCACUGUCACCAAGGAGGCUGCUUGCACUAGUUCUAGCACCAUCACCGCUGGUGCCGGAGCCACGGUCGUUGUGCCUCAAUCCGACAUUGGUUUGCACCUUGAGCAGUUGUUGGUAAGUGGGCAAAGCACCGAUGUGAGGUUCCUAGUUGAGGAGUGCGACAUCCGUGCUCAUGGGUUGGUGAUAGCGUCUCGAUCACCGGUCCUAUACCAAGUGGUUGAAGCGGCGGCGGCCAAGGAGGACGAUCAUCAUAUCGUACGGGUCAACAACAUGAAGGCAGCGGUCUUCAGGUCUGUUCUCCACUUCAUCUACACCGACAAGCUACCCUGUACAGAUAACCCAGUCCUUGCUGUUGAAGACAUGCUCGUGGCAGCCUGCCGAUUCCGUCUCGAGAGGUUGAAGAUUGCGUGCGAGAACUUUUUGGCCGAGCACAUCUCGAAUAAGAAUGCAUUGACCACGUUGGAACUGGCGCAGCAUCACAACUGCUUGGAGCUAGAAGAUUACUGCGUCAAGUUCAUCUCGACAUGA
RNAcentral lists this ribosomal RNA (2124 nucleotides) under Triticum aestivum (bread wheat). RNAcentral describes it as "partial small subunit ribosomal RNA". The record is from RNAcentral. Lineage: Eukaryota; Viridiplantae; Streptophyta; Magnoliopsida; Poales; Poaceae.